Molecule: long non-coding RNA, 283 nt
Filed under: Elaeis guineensis (African oil palm)
Lineage: Eukaryota; Viridiplantae; Streptophyta; Magnoliopsida; Arecales; Arecaceae
Description: long non-coding RNA (EGUI_LNC029558)
Source: RNAcentral
CCUGCGCCACUUGGUGAGUAUUAGCGAUGGUGAUGAAGCUAUUGCCGCACACUGUUCCCUUCUCUUUCAAUUUUUAAUAUUUAAAUUUAAAUUUAUCAAAUUUAUUUAAAUUUAUAAUAUUUGAAUUUAAUUUAUACAUGAAAAGCACAUUCUCAGUCAUUGCAAGAUCCGAAGGAACGUCAUUGUCAUAUAAAACCUCACAUCCGGUGGUGCUCUCGAGAGUUGGAACCACUCUAGAGAGCUCUCCGAUGAGAGUAGUCCUACUAACUUCGAUGGUAGGGGU